AAAACUAAAUAUGCAAAGCCGGAGACAGCAGGUGCUAACAGCUUAAACACCCUGCCGAGGUAAAAGCUCUCUUACUCAAUGUGACGUGAAAAAUAAUGCGUCGCUUUAGUAAUCAGAGUCUUGAGACUAAACCCCGGCUGAGAUAGUCGGGGUUUAUUGUUGUACCC
This is a regulatory RNA element of Nostoc sp., 167 nucleotides long. It matches the Rfam family "Ribosomal protein L10 leader". Rfam says of the family: This family is a putative r-protein leader autoregulatory structure found in B. subtilis and other low-GC Gram-positive bacteria. It is located in the 5' untranslated regions of mRNAs encoding ribosomal proteins L10 and L12 (rplJ-rplL). The record is from Rfam. Lineage: Bacteria; Bacillati; Cyanobacteriota; Cyanophyceae; Nostocales; Nostocaceae.